CUGAAAGUAGCUCAGUUGUUUAGAGCAUGGUGCUAAUAAUGCCAAGGUUGCUGGUUAAAUCCCAGUACAGG
Lamprotornis superbus is the source of this 71-nucleotide non-coding RNA. The record is from the annotation of a GenBank genome assembly. Lineage: Eukaryota; Metazoa; Chordata; Aves; Passeriformes; Sturnidae.